AUGCCAGGACUUCUCUUCAUAGUGCUGCUCAUCUCUCUUCUCGCCAAUGGAACAUAUGUUGCCACAGCAUGGGAUGAUGAAGAAUUCUUCAAGAAUUGUUCACCAAGUCGGUGCAGCAAACAUGGACCAGAGGUCCGGUUUCCAUUCAGGCUUGCAACCCAACCUCCACCUUGUGGUGCACCAGGUAUGCAGUUAUCAUGCUCUGGACAGGACACCAUCCUGUAUCACCCAGUUCUUGGCUCCUGCAAAGUGACUGCAAUAUUUUAUAAGGAUCUAGUCAUAAACAUCAGUCCACCUAUAGACACAUCACCUCACUGCCCACUUCAGAUACUCAUCUCAGCAAAUCUAUCAACUGAUGUGUACAAACCUCAAAAGUUGGAUGUUGCAAGCUUAGUAGGUUGUUCAAGAGAUUCUAUACCAAUAGAUCUAUACGGUAUAGUGGGCCCAGUCGCUUGUCUUGUUAAUAAGGACAUCCAGUUCUGGUAUUUGGUGAACCCCAACGCAUACAUGUCUGUUCUACCUUUGGAUUGCAUGGUUUUUUCUAAGGAGAUCCCGAUACCAUAUACUAGUCAGAUUCAUCACUCAUACUUCAUAAGGAAGAAGGUCGACAACACUGCAACCUUCGAGUAUAGGGCAAGCCGAAGCAUCAGUAUUGGUGAAACGGCAUUUUCUUGGUACUCUAGUAAUAUCACUAGUGUUUGCCAACAGUGCGAAGAAGAAGGUCAAAAAUGUGGAUUUGACUCACAAAGGGAUCAAGCUUUCUGCAAGAGACAUGGUAUGAAGGUCAUCCCAAUUGCAGCAUCAUCUGUAGCUGCAUUUGUAGCUCUUUCAUUGAUGGUAGCCACGACACUCUACCUCUCAUUGAAGUCAAGGUAUCAUGAAGAGAUAAAUAGGAAGGUUGAAAUGUUUCUGAAGGCAUACAGCACAUCGAAACCCACAAGGUACACUUUCCCUGAAGUUAGGAAGAUAGCAAGACGGUUCAAGGAUAAAUUGGGCCAGGGUGGAUUUGGAAGUGUGUACAAAGGCGAGCUACCAAAUGGAGUGCCUGUGGCAGUCAAGAUGCUAGAGGGCUCCGUAGGAGAGGGAGAGGAAUUCAUCAAUGAAGUUGCAACCAUUGGACUAAUCCACCAUACAAAUAUCGUUCAUCUCUUGGGCUUUUGCUCCGAAGGAACUAGACGGGCUCUUAUUUACGAAUUCAUGCCCAAUGAUUCACUCGAGAAAUACAUAUUCACACAUAUUUCCAAUAUUUCUCGACAACUCCUAGCACCAAACAAAAUGAUAGAUAUUGCUUUAGGCAUUGCUCGAGGGAUGGAAUACCUGCACCAAGGCUGCAACCAACGCAUCCUUCACUUUGACAUCAAGCCGCACAACAUCUUGCUGGACUACAACUUCAAUCCGAAGAUAUCAGAUUUUGGUCUUGCAAAGCUGUGUGCAAGGGACCAAAGCAUCGUUACCUUGACUGCAGCCAGAGGUACUAUGGGAUACAUCGCACCAGAGCUAUACUGUCGGAACUUUGGAGGGGUGUCUUACAAGUCAGAUGUGUACAGUUUUGGCAUGCUGGUGUUGGAAAUGGUGAGCGGACGGAGGAACACAGACCCAAGUGUUGAGAGCCAGAAUGAGGUGUACCUCCCGGAGUGGAUUUAUGAGAAAAUAACCACUGAGCAAGAAUGGGAGCUUACUUUGGAAAUGACAGCAGAAGAGAAAGAAAAGAUGAGGCAGCUGACUAUUGUGGCCCUGUGGUGCAUCCAAUGGAACCCAAAGAACCGGCCAUCGAUGACGAAGGUGGUAAACAUGUUAACAGGGAGGUUGCAGAACCUGCAGAUUCCCCCCAAGCCCUUCGUGUCAUCUGAAAAUCGCCCUAUGCCGCAAAACAGGGCGAACACAUGA
RNAcentral lists this ribosomal RNA (1887 nucleotides) under Triticum aestivum (bread wheat). RNAcentral's name for it is "partial small subunit ribosomal RNA". The record is from RNAcentral. Lineage: Eukaryota; Viridiplantae; Streptophyta; Magnoliopsida; Poales; Poaceae.